GGAUUAUUAUUCUCUUGUGCGGUAUCGUUUGUGGAACUCUUCAUAAACAGUAAGUAUAUCAUUCCCUUUUUUAUUUUAAACAUUUUGAGGUGUAUCAACGUGUCACACAUUUUAUCCAAUUAUCAAGCAUGCAAGUUCAUUGUGUAUUUUAUGUGCUCAAGCAAUCACAUUGUGGAUCUAUUGGGUGACCCUUUUCUCAUGGCUAGGGCUGUAAACGAACCCAACAGUUCGUGAACCGUUCGGCGGGAAGUUCGUUUAUGUUCGUUCGAUUAGCUUAACGAUCGAACACGAACAAAAAAUUUCGUUCGAUUAGCUUAGCGAACGAACAUGAACACAGGUCUCGUUCGUUCGACUACGUUCGUGAACGUUCGUUAAUAUGUUCGGUUAUGUUCUUUCGUGUUCGUUUGUUUGUAUCAAAAAAAUAAUAAGUAAUAAACCAUUUAUCUAAACAUAUUGAAAACUUGAAAUCCUAUUUGUUUCUUUGUUAGCUAAAAUGUGGACAUUCUAAAACAUUUUUGGCGAUAAUUAUGUGUAAGUUAGUUAAACUUGAUUCAUCGUUUGGUCAUGUAGUAGACUUCUUGUGUUUUGAUUUAUCAUUUGAUGGUUGUAUUAUCUAGUUAUAUCCAAUGUUUAAGGAUAACAAUGUUUUUAUUUUUUUUAUUUUCAAGUUAAAUGUUCGUUUGCGUUCGUUUUUAUUUGCCUGUGUUCGUUUGUGUAUGAGACCAGUGUUCACGAACUGUUCGUGAACAACUGAAUUUACUUAACGAACGAACACGAACAUAAACUUAUGUUCGGUAUGCGUUCGCGAACAUGUUAAUUUCCUUAACGAACGAACACGAACAUGGUCUUGUUCGUGUUCGUUCGGUUCAUUUACAGCCCUACAUGGCAAUGGGAUGUGGGCAUCGUCUUCAUUUAGUCUCGCUCUUCGAGGCUUGAGAAUCAUACACUAGCUUAUUUUAUUUAUGGUUUACUGUUCAUUAUUUGUUAUAUUUGAUUAACACAUGGAUUGCAUGUUUAUUUUACAAAUAAAUUAAUUUUUAUCUUAGAUUUAUUCACUAGCUUUCGUAGUUGAUCCAAAAUAUUUUACACAUGAUACAAGAAAUGAGAACUAUGAAGUCAUGUAGGAUUCGCUUUAUAAUAAAUAAUAAAACUUUAUUUGUACUUCUUUUGAAUUAUAUUAGAAUUAUAUACAACUUAUAUGUCUGCAGUGACAAAUUUUAAUAAAUGUCAUGUUUAAUUUUGAAGUGACAAAUUUUAAUAAAUGUCAUGUUUAAUUUUGAAACAUUAAUUAGGACAAUAAGCUUUUGACAAUUAUCUCGCCCUGAUCAACAGGGGCGGACCUACCCAUAUUUGUGGGUGGGCGGCCGCACCCCUUGAGAAAAUAUUUUUUAGUGUUAAUUUUUCGGUAAAAUCUCGACCGCACCCCUUGGAAUUUUUCACCCGCACCCCUUGGAAAUUUCAAUCGUCCC
RNAcentral lists this long non-coding RNA (1469 nucleotides) under Helianthus annuus (common sunflower). Its description in RNAcentral is "hypothetical non coding rna". Lineage: Eukaryota; Viridiplantae; Streptophyta; Magnoliopsida; Asterales; Asteraceae. The record is from RNAcentral.